This 378-nucleotide ribosomal RNA is filed under the name uncultured bacterium. RNAcentral's name for it is "bacterial SSU rRNA". It matches the Rfam family "Bacterial small subunit ribosomal RNA", at positions 29 to 407 of the family's 1533-position model. The record is from RNAcentral.
AUUGAACGCUGGCGGAAUGCUUUACACAUGCAAGUCGAACGGCAGCACGGGGCAACCUGGUGGCGAGUGGCGAACGGGUGAGUAAUACAUCGGAACGUGCCCAAUCGUGGGGGAUAACGUAGCGAAAGUUACGCUAAUACCGCAUACGAUCUACGGAUGAAAGCGGGGGAUCGCAAGACCUCGCGCGAAUGGAGCGGCCGAUGUCAGAUUAGGUAGUUGGGUGGGGUAAAAGGCUCACCAAGCCGACGAUCUGUAGCUGGUCUGAGAGGACGACCAGCCACACUGGGACUGAGACACGGCCCAGACUCCUACGGGAGGCAGCAGUGGGGAAUUUUGGGACAAUGGGCGCAAGCCUGAUCCAGCCAUUCCGCGUGCAGG